RNAcentral lists this ribosomal RNA (366 nucleotides) under Triticum aestivum (bread wheat). RNAcentral's name for it is "partial small subunit ribosomal RNA". Lineage: Eukaryota; Viridiplantae; Streptophyta; Magnoliopsida; Poales; Poaceae. The record is from RNAcentral.
AUGGCAAGGCAAGUUUAUAGGCAAGGGGAGGAAGAUGGAAGCAAGUUAACUAAUUAUGCUCUCCUCUGUAUCUGUCUCUGUCUCUGUCUGUCUCUUUCAGAGGAGAUGAGGAAGAUGAAAGGCAAGAGAGGAAGGAGAGGAAGCAAAGGAAAGAAGAAGGAUGGGCGACACUUUAAGCAAGGCAUUUUAUUCCCCUCGUUAAUCAAUUCGUUUACAUGUUAUAAUUAUGCCAUGCAAGAUUCGAUUAAUCCUUGGCACAAAAACAUUCAAUUUAAUUCAUGUCCUCUUGUUAAUGCAGAACCAAAUUGCAUGUCGGUUAAAUCUUAUCUGGGUGUAAAAUUAGGAAGAACGAUUUGUUGGCUCUGA